This 252-nucleotide ribosomal RNA is filed under the name uncultured bacterium. Its description in RNAcentral is "partial 16S ribosomal RNA". It matches the Rfam family "Bacterial small subunit ribosomal RNA", at positions 524 to 776 of the family's 1533-position model. The record is from RNAcentral.
UACGGAGGAUGCGAGCGUUAUCCGGAUUUAUUGGGUUUAAAGGGUGCGCAGGCGGAUUUUUAAGUCAGCGGUCAAAUCGUGGGGCUCAACCCCAUCCAGCCGUUGAAACUGGGGAUCUAGAGUGUGCGAGAGGUAUGCGGAAUGCGUGGUGUAGCGGUGAAAUGCAUAGAUAUCACGCAGAACCCCGAUUGCGAAGGCAGCAUACCGAUGCACAACUGACGCUCAGGCACGAAAGCGUGGGUAUCGAACAGG